GUCAAGCCUGCCCUGUGACUAUAUGUUUAACGGCCGCGGUAUUUUAACCGCGCAAAGGUAGCGCAAUCACUUGUCUUUUAAAUGAAGACCCGUAUGAAUGGCAUCACGAGGGCUUAACUGUCUCCCCCUUCCGGUCAAUGAAAUUGAUCUCCCCGUGCAGAAGCGGGGAUUCUUUCAUAAGACGAGAAGACCCUAUGGAGCUUUAGACGCCCAAGGAAGUCCACGUCAAUAAAACCCCGCCACGGGCUCAAACUAAUGUAUUCUUCCUCUUGUCUUCGGUUGGGGCGACCGCGGAGAAAAGUAAAACCCCCCGCGCAGAAUGGGAGUACCCCUCCCUGAAGCGAGACCCACAGCUCAACCCGCCAGUAUUUCUGGCUAUUAGAGAUCCGGCACUGCCGAUCUACGGACCUAGUUACCCUAGGGAUAACAGCGCAAUCCCCUUCUAGAGUUCAUAUCGACAAGGGGGUUUACGACCUCGAUGUUGGAUCAGGACAUCCUAAUGGUGCAGCCGCUAUUAAGGGUCCGUUUGUUCAACG
RNAcentral lists this ribosomal RNA (536 nucleotides) under Pteroidichthys amboinensis (Ambon scorpionfish). Its description in RNAcentral is "partial 16S ribosomal RNA". It matches the Rfam family "Bacterial large subunit ribosomal RNA", at positions 1852 to 2586 of the family's 2925-position model. The record is from RNAcentral. Lineage: Eukaryota; Metazoa; Chordata; Actinopteri; Perciformes; Scorpaenidae.